RNAcentral lists this ribosomal RNA (616 nucleotides) under Papiliotrema laurentii. Its description in RNAcentral is "partial large subunit ribosomal RNA". It matches the Rfam family "Eukaryotic large subunit ribosomal RNA", at positions 67 to 664 of the family's 3401-position model. The record is from RNAcentral. Lineage: Eukaryota; Fungi; Basidiomycota; Tremellomycetes; Tremellales; Rhynchogastremaceae.
CUCGGGGAUUCCCCUAGUAACGGCGAGUGACCGGGAAGAGCUCAAAUUUGAAAUCUGGCGUCCUCAGGGCGUCCGAGUUGUAAUCUAUAGAGGCGUUUUCCGUGCCGGACCGUGUCCAAGUUCCUUGGAACAGGAUAUCAAAGAGGGUGACAAUCCCGUACUUGACACGACGACCGGUGCUCUGUGAUACGUCUUCUACGAGUCGAGUUGUUUGGGAAUGCAGCUCAAAAUGGGUGGUGAGUUCCAUCUAAAGCUAAAUAUUGGCGAGAGACCGAUAGCGAACAAGUACCGUGAGGGAAAGAUGAAAAGCACUUUGGAAAGAGAGUUAAACAGUACGUGAAAUUGUUGAAAGGGAAACGAUUGAAGUCAGUCGUGACCGAGAGGCUCAGCCGGUUCUGCCGGUGUAUUCCCCUCGGUCGGGUCAACAUCAGUUUUGUCUGGUGGAUAAGGGCGGUAGGAAGGUGGCACCCUCGGGUGUGUUAUAGCCUGCCGUCGCAUACAUCGGGUGAGACUGAGGAACGCAGCUCGCCUUUAUGGCCGGGGUUCGCCCACGUCCGAGCUUAGGAUGUUGACAUAAUGGCUUUAAACGACCCGYCUUGAAACAMGGGAMAAAAAA